Molecule: ribosomal RNA, 1891 nt
Filed under: Detonula confervacea
Lineage: Eukaryota; Bacillariophyta; Thalassiosirophyceae; Thalassiosirales; Thalassiosiraceae
Description: partial Bacterial large subunit ribosomal RNA
Rfam family: Bacterial large subunit ribosomal RNA
Source: RNAcentral
CAAGGAACUAAGAGUUUAUGGGGGAUACCUUGGCAUUCAGAAGCGAUGAAGGACGUGGUUACCGACGAUACGCUUCGGGGAGCUGGAAACAAGCUAUGAUCCGGAGGUCUCCGAAUGAGGCAACUUUUUAACUACUUAUUGAAUUCAUAGAUAAGAAAGAGCAAACCUAGAGAAUUGAAACAUCUUAGUACCUAGAGGAAAAGAAAGUAAAAACGAUUCCCUGAGUAGCGGCGAGCGAAACGGGAUUAGCCUAAACUUAAUUAUACAUUAAGGGUAGUGGGACAAUAAUAAAAGAUUUAAUGGAACGAUUAGAGGAAUAAGUUUGGAAUACUUAACCAUAGAGAGUGAUAGUCUCGUACUCGAAAAUUGAACCAAUUCAAUUGUAUCCCAAGUAGCAUGGAGCACGUGAAAUUCCGUGUGAAUCUGCGAGGACCACCUCGUAAGGCUAAAUAUUCCUGAAUGACCGAUAGUGAAACAGUACCGUGAGGGAAAGGUGAAAAGAACCCUGAAUAAGGGAGUGAAAUAGAUCCUGAAACCAUACGCUUACAAGCGGUCGGAGCCCUUUAGUGGGGUGACGGCGUGCCUUUUGCAUAAUGAGCCUACGAGUUACCGUUGCCAGCAAGGUUAAGCAGUUCAGCUGUGGAGCCGUAGCGAAAGCGAGUCUGAAUAGGGCGCUUUAGUUGGUAGUGGUAGACGCGAAACCGUGUGAUCUACCCUUGGGCAGGUUGAAGCUGUGGUAACACAUAGUGGAGGACCGAACCCGUUGACGUUGAAAAGUCUUGGGAUGACCUGAGGGUAGGGGUGAAAGGCCAAUCAAACUCGGAAAUAGCUCGUACUCCCCGAAAUGCAUUUAGGUGCAGCGAUAUAGAUAGUUUUAUAGAGGUAGAGCUACUGAUUGGAUGCGGGGGCUUCACCGCCUACCAAUUCCUGACAAACUCCGAAUGCUAUAAAAUGAUUCAUAUCAGUGAGGGCAUGGGUGCUAAGGUCCAUGUCCGAGAGGGAAAGAACCCAGACCAUCAGCUAAGGUCCCAAAAUAUAUGUUAAGUUGAAGAAACGCGGUUGAACUGCCCAGACAGCUAGGAUGUUGGCUUGGAAGCAGCCAUUCAUUUAAAGAGUGCGUAACAGCUCACUAGUCGAGCGGUUCGGCAUGGAUAAUAAUCGGGCAUAAACAUAUUACCGAAGCUAUGGACUAUAGUUUACUAUAGUGGUAGGGGAGCAUUGUAACAGAGAUGAAGGUGAGUCGCGAGGCUUGCUGGAUCGGUUACAAAAGAAAAUGUAGGCAUAAGUAACGAUAAUGCGGGCGAGAAACCCGCACACCGAAAGACUAAGGUUUCCUCAGCUAUGCUAAUCAGCUGAGGGUUAGUCGGGACCUAAGGCGAACCCGAAAGGGGUAGUCGAUGGACAAGCAGUUAAUAUUCUGCUACUUGCCCCACGUUAAAGCGGACGGAGGCGUAAAUUUGGUGCGUACUGACGGAAUAGUACGUUGAAGGGAGUGGUAACACCCCGAUAGUACACAAAAGCUACGGCCAGCGUGAUAAUCCAGAGGAGCGACUUCCAAGAAAAGCGAGUGGAGGCAACCCGUACCCUAAACCGACACAGGUAGUUGGGAUGAGAAUUCUAAGGUGCUCGAGAGAUUCAUGGCUAAGGAACUAGGCAAAAUUGGCCCGUAACUUCGGGAGAAGGGUCGCCCCCCUUAUGGGGGGCCGCAGUGAAAAGAUCCAGGCGACUGUUUAUCAAAAACACAGGGCUCUGCUAAAUCGAAAGAUGACGUAUAGGGCCUGACACCUGCCCGGUGCUGGAAGGUUAAGGGGAGAUGUUAGCUUCGGCGAAGCAUUGAACUGAAGCCCCAGUAAACGGCGGCCGUAACAAUAACGGUCCUAAGGUAGCGAAA